UUAUCCUUGAUGUUUCUACAACUUGAUUAGAGUCCACCUGUGGUAAAUUCAAUUGAUUGGACAUGCUUUGUAAAGGCACACACCUGUCUAUAUAAGGUCCUACAGUUGACAGUAGAUGUCAGAGAGAUGCUUGAUGAUACUGGGGUGAAGGUUCACCAUCCAACAGGACAACAACCCUAAACACACAGUCAAGACAACGCAGGAGGGGCUUCUGGGCAAGUCUCGUAAUGUCCUUGAGUGACCCAGCCAGAGCCCGGCCACUGCUCGGAGCCUGGUUGCUGUCUAGGUUUAUUCCUAGGUUCCUUCCUUCUAGGGAGUAUUUACUAGCCACUGUGCUUCUGCAUUGCUCUUUGGGGUUUUAGUCUCGGUACCUGCACCCUCAGCGGAGUCAACGAACACCGGAAGCAUCCGUUUUUCAGGGAAAAGGCAGAGAGGAAGUCAAAGCCUGAAAAUAACAAGCUUCUGGUGUUUCACACCAACUGACUGGUUCUUCUGAUGUUGUUCACACAGGAGACCAUAUUGAGACAUUAUCUACAUCCAGAGAGCAACAGCAGGAAGAUCAGAGCUAGGAGGUCUCACCACUGCCUACAUUGAGGAGAUUUUCCCAAUUCUAUCAAAGCUAAAAAUACACACAGGAGAGAAUCUGUAUCUCUGCUCUGACAGUUCAUAAUUCAACACUGGAGAGAAGGCCUACUCCUGUUCUGACUGCAAGAAUAUUAUCUCUCAGCAGAGCAACUUAACACCAACGUAUGUAUACACACAGGAGAGAAGCUUUACUCCUGCUCUGUUGGAAGAGUUUCUCUCAACAUGGCCACUUAAAAAGACACCAACAUACAUAAAUGUGAGAAACCUCAUCUGUUCUCUGACUAGUGAAGAUUAAAAUAAUUCCUUCACUUAAUUAUCAACAAGUUGUAACACACUCUAUUGUAGUCCUAUUGUUUCUCACUUUGAGAGAUCUGUGCAGAGGAAAGGGAGUGUUAUAGAAUGUUAGCCUCUCUUUACUUUACUGAUCAGUAUGCACCUGGUCAGUUUUGGUGUGUUUUGAACAAAUUCUUAUUUUCAAUGACGGCCUAGGAACAGUGGGUUAACUGCCUGUUCAGGGGCAGAACGACAGAUUUGUACCUUGUCAGCUCGCAACUCGCAACCUUCCGGUUACUAGUCCAACGCUCUAACCACUAGGCUACCCUGCCUAUAUAUAUUCAAUGUUAUCUUAUAAGGAAGGGUUGAAUUUGGACUUUUCUGUAGUCAUUAGAAGUUAGAAACAGGAAUGUUUAUUUAGGGUUUGAACUAACGGGUUGCCUCCCACAAUGUAGACAAUGGCUGUUGCGAUUUAACCACAUGAUUAAAGAUGCUGUCUUUGUCUCAGCUUAGACUUCCCUUAGAGUAUACGUCAGAGGUUCAAACUGCUACUAUGCUAACAAGAAUGAACAAGAAUAUAAAUAAAGACCAUAUAAAGACAUGUCUGUCCCGGAAAGUUGGCUGCUGUAUACAGAGUCAUUCUAGUCACGUUAACAACAAGCAUCCCGGUUUAGGGACAGCAAUCCCGUAGAGGUUUUAAACUGUAUGUACUUAAUAUUUGAAUGAAAUAAAAUGGUUUUAAAAUGGUAUCUCACCCCUUAAUGAAUGGGAAGCUCUCCUUAACUCUCCCACCCCGGUCUGUAGCUAAGAAAAAAGACUUACGGAAAAGCCGUGUGUGUGUGUGCGUGCGUGUGCUGGUGUGCGUGUGUGUGUUUCAAAAACAAAAGGUAGGGGGUGUGUUCAACAAUGCCCAGGCAUCUGCACUCAAGGCUCUCUCUCUCUGCAGGGGUCGUUUGAAACCAAGGUUUCACUAUCAUGCAAACGGUAUGUACAGAUACCUGCCUAUCCCCCAUCAAAAAGUGUGACGGCGUCUCUUAAAAUGGUGAUUUUCGAUUCAUUAACACAUAUGCCUUUCAAAUCCUAAUUUAUCUCACCCUCCAGAGGAUGUGAAGGCUAAAAAGUCAACCAGCCCCCAGAAAGAAUACACCAUGUCUAGACCGACCCCCAGGGAUAAACAUUGAUAUUUCUAAUCAGCGCAUAUACUAACCGUGCCCCCACUCCGGUCUAUACAUUUACAUCGGACACCCUCCAAGGUGCUAACCCUGAGGAUGUAGGAAAUCAAAAGGGCCACGUCUUACUGUCUCGACACCCCUCCUGUUGUUUGAAAUCACUACCUUUGUAAUCUAAACCAAAAUAUACAGGGUGUUGCAAACAGGAUAUCGCCCGAAAAAACGUCACCCCCCAUGCCCUGUAAAUGCAUUCCGUAGUAUCUCUCCUUUUGAGCCAAGACGGAGGAGCGAGUGUCCGAUCCACUAUGUUAGCACCGCUUUAGCGCAGCUACAAACCCACAGGCCAGCAACCCCGAAUAGUUAUCGGACUGAACAUUUAAAAGGAUCAUCUGUGAAUCCGUCCUAAUGGAGCUUUCUGAAGUUUGUAGGGUCUCCAAGAUUUACGCAGCUGCUCAGAGGGAUAAAUGAUCUGGAACAGACAGCGUUAGACGGCGAUUCUCAGGAGCAAAUCGCAUGCAGCCAAACCCCGUCACAUUAUUGUAGACCUGACAUACAGCCAAGAAGAAUAACGGGGUCCAUGUGGACCCUGAACGGCUUCGGAAGAGCAGAUGACAGAUCCGAUGACACAGAUGCAAUUCUCCCGUUCUGUACGAACGUUUUUUCAAACACACCGAGAACAGAGGAUUUAAACGUCCGGUCAACUCCCCUGGGAACCUCCACCAGCUCGCUCCAUAUUCCUAACCCAAGCAAACAACGCACAACUCGGGCGCAAAUACAUUGCUCAGAAUCAACCCCUCCGGAAAAGUACGACAGGACAGGGAAUUUACGAGACGGCGCUCCAUGGACACGGCUCCAACGAGACAGGCCUGGCAGAAUCGGGAAUUCUUGGUGACAAAAGUCAAGCCCCCCCCCCGGUUUACGCGAUUCGGUCAGAACAGAGACUCCUCCCCGGCGUAUAAUGGCACCGAAUACCUCACACAUCUUAAGCGCGAGGAGGAUCCCGGCUCACCGAACAUUCCCAAUGAAACAACCAAAACGGAGGAUUUAAACCUUAUAAAUGACAUUUCCGAGGCAGACGACCGGUUAUUAUGGGAUGCGGCCAACCUUCUUGAUUCUGCCAAUUCUGUGGUGACAACAGACGGAUCUGAAAUAGAACAAGCUAGGUUUUUCACAGCCUUUUCCAGGGCUCUAAAAUCCCGAAAGGUUUUGCUACACAGACGCCUGGGUGUUUUACUAGAGCGCCAAUACCGUCAGGAUAUAUCCUUCUGGCAUAGAGCAAUUCCACGUAUGUUAAACAGCAAUCCGAUUAAAAAACGCAAAUACAGGCGUUAAAAGCAUAUAUGUUACACGGAUCCUCCCAGAAUAACCCAAGAACACACAUCAUUAAUUAUCCAUAUGGCUGACCCAACAGACCUAGGCGAGACAGUUGAAAACCUCUUAUCCCAGAUACCGCCAGAAUUCCAAGCUAUAAUUAACCAUAUGAAAGAGGCGGGGGUAAACAGACAUAAUACCAAUAGAUGAAAGCAUAUUAUCACAGAUUCCAGCCGAACUCAUAGAAAUUAUUAAUCGUAUGAAUGAGUCAGCGCCGUCCGACGAAAACCUGUUAUCACAGAUUCCCGAAGCCCCCAUAUCGCUAAUUACCCAGAUGAAGAGAGCCUGAGAUCUAAUUCUGCAACACACACCCCUCAAAACCAGACAUUAACACCCAUGUCCGAAGAGUCUGAAACGCAAUACGAUGUUUUUGAGGAAUUGGAAAAUUGUCUAAUAAAUCAGGAUGGAAACGGUAUGGAUAGAAGUGUUCGUGUUGGGUACCGAAAUCAAUUAAACAAUACAGAGAUUCGACAGUUUUUCAAUUUCGCAUGGGUGAAUCAGAAUCUUGACUACGCUGUGUUUUACGUAAUGAUAUUGGACACUCUGAAUGAACUGUUAGAAAGGGCUAGAGAUUAUGGCGAACCACGUGAUGUCUUACAGUUGGAAAUUUGUGGAGAUUGCCUGUAUAACACGGUAUCUCUUAUUUUGACCAAUGGCGAAGCAGAUCUUGAACAAUUUAUGGCCCUGCUAGAACGACUUGUUCAGUCAAAUGUAUCCGUCAUAGCCGAUAGGACCCUCGAGCUUGUAGUGCAAAUAAUACGUCAACCCCAGGGUGGUGGUGGGCAGAGAAGGAAGCUAGAUAGCAUAAUGCAGUCAGAAAUCCUAAGCAAUAAAAGGGUCUACCUCAAACGUUCACAAUCCCGGUAAUAAGCUAUGCUUUGCAAAAGGUCUGUCCCAUUUACUCAACACGGGAUGUACUGAUCUAGCGGCGUUACAACGGUAUACAGGAUGCUGUGGCUUUCUCUGACAUACUCAAAUUUGAAAACUUUCUGAAUAUCAAGAUUGUGGUUUUGUACCACAGUAGAGCUAAUGCAGCUCUUUUGAAAUUCCAAAACAACCCCCAACCUCAUCCUCAGACUCUGUACUUUUAUGUGCAAAACGAACAUUACAGCGUUUUUAGGCGCACCAUAUGUGUCCAUCCUGCCAUACCGGCUACACCCGAAUGGGGGGGGGGGGCACUCGUGCCGUUAUAACUGUUCAGUAUGUCUGGAUAAAAAUUGUCCUAUGCAACCCUUACACUUGACACCCUGUGAGGAUUGCCACCGCACAUGUCGUUCCGCCUACUGUUACGAAAAACACAAAAUUGAAACAUGGCACCCCAAGGCCUGUAAAUCUGUAAGCAGUUGUGACAUUAACAAGAAAUGCCCAAAAUGCCAUUGUAAUUACAACCUUAAUAUAGAUAGCCCUAAACCGCAUGUGUGUGGAAUCAUACAUUGCUCAAUCUGUAAAGGGCCUUUGAAAAGCAGAGACACUGAAGUGGUUCAAGAAGUGCAACACAAAAGUGUUAUAUUCAGUCCGUGGCUGAAGUUGAACAUUCAGAGAAAUAAAGUGUUAUAUGAUUGAGAUAAAUCAGCAAUCAGGGGUUCAUUUGCCUAUUUUUGUAUCGACCAUGACUUUCAAGGGUGAAAAGUGGUCGGCCGAGGGACCCAAUUGUGCACUGUUCUUUCUAAAACACUUUAGAAAACCCCAAUACAGAAACUUCACGUUUAUAGCACACAAUGCUCGAGCCUAUGACCUUCUUCUGAACCCCUUGAUACAGCAAGGCGUUGCACCCAGUGUCAUAGCUCAAGGUAGUAAAAUCUUGUGUUUUGUAGACCCCGCCUUCAACCAGAGAUAGAUUGACAGUUUAAGCUUCUUACCCAUGAGAUUGGCUCAAAUGCCAAAGGCCUUGGGUUUUGAAAACUCUGUGAAAGGCUGGUUCCCCGCACUUCUUCACAUCUGAGGAGAAUCUACAUUAUAUUGGAUCUUAUCCCUGCCCCGAAAUGUACGGGUGUGAUCAAAUGUCUCCCAAAGAGCGUGAGAGAUUCAUGACAUGGUACGAGACAGUAAGACAUGGCCCCUUUGAUUUCCAUAAAGAGAUGGAAUCAUACUGUGACAAUGAUGUGGUUAUACUUGGUGAAGGAUGCCUCAGAUUCAGAGAAGAGGUAAUCAAAGAUGCAGGCAUUGACCCCUGGAGUUGUACAACUAUUGCAUCGGCGUGCAUGAAAACCUAUCGUAUGAGUACAACGGUUGUUUCUUCCACGGUUGUAAAUCUUGCUUUGUGCCCCCGGCCAUGUGUGUCCUAACCCAAAAGAUUUUUGUGGAAAUGUAUCAAGAGUUUCAAAAGAAAUUGGAUUCUUUCCAGGCUACUUUCAGGUUAAAAGUUGUGGUUUUGUGGGAGCACGAAUGGACAGCCCUCAAAAAGUCUGAUCCUCAUGUUCAAGCCUUCCUUUCCAGCUACGACACACUAGAACCCCUGGAACCACGACAGGCCUUAUUUAUGUUUAUGGAGAGUAUAUGCAUCCUGCUCUGAUAACCACUCAUUCACUUUAGAAUCACUUAACCGGCUACCUGUUUCUUCGGCUAUAGCUCUCUGUAAAUGUUCCUUACCACCAUAAGACCCGGGGUUAGAGGGAUUAUAAUAAAUGUUUUUCAACAUCUGCUCCGCCAUCCUUCUUGCCUCUCUGAGGUACAAUAACGUUAAUGAGCCACUUUCAAAUAACGACAACAUUUCAUUUUCAUUAUAGAAUUUUUAUUUUAUUCAUGCAUCAAGUAUUACGUAUACAGACAAUUCAGGAUUCUUUGCAGGAUACAUGUCCCAGUUUUCUCAACGAUCACAGCAUGCAACACCCUGUAUAUUUGGUUUUGAUUUAGACUUGUGUCGCUGAACUUUUAAAACACACAUGUCCGAUAUAUAAGCAUAUAAACACCAAAUAUGAUACACGUUACAAUUAAAUGGUGUUUCAAACAAAUAAAGUAAAAUCUUAGACAAAGUUGUUUCUAGUUCUAGUUUC
Molecule: long non-coding RNA, 6391 nt
Organism: Oncorhynchus gorbuscha (pink salmon)
Lineage: Eukaryota; Metazoa; Chordata; Actinopteri; Salmoniformes; Salmonidae
Exons: 5
Source: RefSeq, a predicted model, not a curated record